This 497-nucleotide ribosomal RNA is filed under the name uncultured bacterium. RNAcentral describes it as "partial 16S ribosomal RNA". It matches the Rfam family "Bacterial small subunit ribosomal RNA", at positions 28 to 507 of the family's 1533-position model. The record is from RNAcentral.
GAUGAACGCUGGCGGCGUGCCUAAUACAUGCAAGUCGAGCGAACGGACGAGAAGCUUGCUUCUCUGAUGUUAGCGGCGGACGGGUGAGUAACACGUGGAUAACCUACCUAUAAGACUGGGAUAACUUCGGGAAACCGGAGCUAAUACCGGAUAAUAUUUUGAACCGCAUGGUUCAAAAGUGAAAGACGGUCUUGCUGUCACUUAUAGAUGGAUCCGUGCUGCAUUAGCUAGUUGGUAAGGUAACGGAUUACCAAGUCAACGAUGCAUAGCCGACCGGAGAGGAUGAUCGGCCACACAGGAACAGAGACACGCUGCAGACACCGACGGGAGGCAUCAGUAGGGAAUCUUCAGCAAUGAGCGAAAGCCUGACGGAGCAACGCCACGUGAGUUAUGAAGGUCUUCGGAUCGUAAAACUCUGUUAUUAGGGAAGAACAUAUGUGUAAGUAACUGUGCACAUCUUGACGGUACCUAAUCAGAAAGCCACGGCUAACUACGUG